AUAUGCGCCACCACGCCCGGCU
Molecule: non-coding RNA, 22 nt
Filed under: Mus musculus (house mouse)
Lineage: Eukaryota; Metazoa; Chordata; Mammalia; Rodentia; Muridae
Source: RNAcentral